UUUUGAACAGUUUUUUUCUUCCGUGUUUUCCAUCCCACGUUGUUAUCUAAAAGAAACUACUCUUCUCAAAUCUCAAACUCCCAAUCUAUUGCCUAAAUCUAUCGUUGUUUAAUUAUGUGAUGAGCAUGGACGAUUUUCAUUCGGAAGGUGCUGCGGCGCCACCGUUAGAAGAAGACGACGAUGAGGAUAUUUAAACCAGAAACUCUUUCACUGAAAUCUCAAGCAAGAUGACGAAAGCCAUCGAUGAGGAUGAAGGGGAAGGUUCUCUGUAGCCAUGGCUUGAGUCUACAACCGUUCGAGAACGCCUGGAUGCUUAUUUUGUUUGUUCACAAAAUCAGUGGUGUUGGAAUAUAGCUUGUCGUUAUCAGCAACGACGGACAAGUCUCAACCCUCAGGUUUGCAUAAUUAGGGUUGUAUAGAAGUAUCUUAUCUAUCAGUUUUUCUUGAUGUUGGUGUGUAGUAUAUGGAGGAUUUCAAGAGUAUUAUCGACAUUGCAAGAAGUUCAAGUAUUAAGUCAACCUAAUCUUGAAAGCCACGUGACCGUCGGAUCAUGCUGAAAGGAUAUUCGUCAGUUGCACAGAACUCAGAAAGGUAAAAAAGUGGCGGUGGGCUAGCAUAACCGGCUUGACGUGUACAAUAGGAAUUACCAUAGUUUAGUACUUCUGAGACUUGGGCUACAAUGCAAGUAUGAAGAUAGACUCUACCUCACGCUGUGCAGUGACUUGAAGGUUAAUUAAGAAGAAAUAUGGACAGGACACAACAAAUGUUGGGGAUGAAGGUGGAUUUGCUCCUUAGAUUGUUUAAAAAGCGCAUGGUUAUGGUCACAUCACUAGCGUCGAACCCUUCUCUUGAUUUGGUGAUUAUGCUACUGGUUGGGUUCUUUCUAAUUCAGUUUUUCCGCUAUUACUGCUGUAAAAAGGUAAAGAUUUUCUUUACAAUCAUUGUGUUAUAAGAUUGGGGUACACUUUAUAUGUGAUGGAAUUGAAGAGCAUACUCAGUUGCAAAGGGCUGGGAAAUUUGUGAAGAGUAAGAACAGUGAGGCGAUGGUAAAGGUAUCUUCAAACACACAAGGUGAACAUGGAACAAGGUCCUAUUCGAGGCCGAGGAGGAUGAUCCAGAGGCCAAAACGAUUUAAUAGGUGCAAGUUUGAAUUUUAUGAAACAUACCAAACAUUCUGUACAUUUUUAGUAAUGCUAGCUUUUUAUUGUCU
This 1210-nucleotide long non-coding RNA is filed under the name Helianthus annuus (common sunflower). The record is from RNAcentral. Lineage: Eukaryota; Viridiplantae; Streptophyta; Magnoliopsida; Asterales; Asteraceae.